Non-coding RNA from Jatropha curcas, 3013 nucleotides. The record is from RefSeq and is a predicted model, not a curated record. Lineage: Eukaryota; Viridiplantae; Streptophyta; Magnoliopsida; Malpighiales; Euphorbiaceae.
AGGGUGUUGGUCGUUGCAUUUGGAAGGAAUGGAAAACUUGAGAAAUGAUGAAUUGUUUGGGAAUUGGGAUCUUUAGUGCAACCAAACGCGCUUCCAUAUUCAAUCCUUCUCCUCUCCUUUUUGUCAUCUGAAUCUCAGUAGAAGCUGACCAAACAAAUCACGCAUAGAAUUUUUCAAUUUCGUUGAGAUAGAUGUUAUUAGAAUUUGGUGAUACAGAGGAAGAUAGACAAACAGAAUGGCAGGAAAAGAUGAGGGUGAAUACAGCGAUGAAAAUCUUCUAUUGGCAUUGAGAGAUGUCGACGAUGGCGGCGAGGACUUGGAAGGGCAAGCCAUUACCAGUACGAGUGGUAGUAGUCAUGGAGGAGGAGGAGGAGGAGGAGGCGGAGCUAUUAAAGAUCUCUUCCUCAAACAUUUGGAUCGAGGGUUUUCCGGUCGCCGUCUGUCCAGUUUCAAGCGUAUUGAUAAAGAGAAUGGUAGAGAGAGUAAUAGAGACUAUUCUCAUAAUCAUAAUCGUGAGGGUGGACAUCAUCAAUAUCAGCAUCACCAUGAUUAUCACGAUAAUGAUGCUAAUGAUGAUGUUCUUGGAGAUAGCGCACCUCCAGAAUGGGUGUUACUUCUCAUUGGUUGUCUGCUUGGUCUCGCCUCUGGUCUCUGUGUAGCUGCUUUUAAUAAAGGGGUUCAUGUGAUACAUGAAUGGGCCUGGGCUGGGACUCCUAAUGAGGGUGCUGCAUGGUUUCGUCUACAGAGGUUGGCUGACACUUGGCAUCGGAUUCUUUUGAUACCAGUAACAGGUGGAGUAAUUGUUGGAAUGAUGCAUGGCUUAGUGGAAAUAUUAAACCAAAUAAGGCAGAGCAGUCCUUCCCAAAGACAAGGUCUUGAUUUGGUUGCGGGAGUCUUCCCCACAAUAAAGGCCAUUCAGGCUGCUGUUACUCUGGGUACUGGUUGUUCUUUGGGUCCUGAAGGUCCUAGUGUAGAUAUUGGAACAUCAUGUGCCAAUGGAUUGUUAUUGAUGAUGGAAAACAACAGAGAGAGGGAGAUUGCUCUUGUUGCAGCUGGUGCAGCGGCUGGGAUUGCCUCAGGUUUUAAUGCAGCUGUUGCUGGUUGUUUCUUUGCCAUCGAAACUGUGUUAAGGCCUCGCCGUGCAGAAAAUUCGCCUCCAUUUACAACUGCAAUGAUAAUAUUGGCUUCUGUUAUAUCAUCAACAGUUUCAAAUGUUUUACUUGGUACACAAUCAGCUUUUACAGUGCCACCAUAUGAUUUGAAAUCUGCUGCUGAAUUACCUUUGUACCUGAUCUUGGGCAUGCUAUGUGGUGUUGUAAGUGUGGCCUUUACUCGCUUGGUCUCUUGGUUCACCAAGUUAUUUGACUUUAUCAAGGAAAAAUUUGCCCUUCCGGCUAUAGUUUGUCCUGCUUUAGGUGGUUUAGGUGCUGGGAUAAUUGCACUCAGGUAUCCUGGGAUACUAUACUGGGGUUUCACAAAUGUUGAAGAAAUUUUACAUACUGGAAAAAGUGCUUCAGCUCCAGGAAUCUGGUUGUUAACCCAACUAGCAGUAGCCAAAGUUGUGGCUACAGCACUAUGCAAAGGUUCAGGACUUGUAGGUGGUCUCUAUGCACCAAGUUUGAUGAUUGGUGCUGCUGUGGGUGCUGUAUUUGGGGGUUCAGCUGCAGAAGUUAUCAAUUCAGCCAUUCCUGGAAAUGCAGCAGUUGCUCAGCCACAGGCAUACGCGUUGGUUGGAAUGGCUGCUACAUUAGCUUCAGUUUGUUCAGUGCCAUUGACUUCAGUUCUACUUCUGUUUGAGUUGACAAAGGACUACAUGAUAAUCCUCCCCCUCAUGGGAGCUGUUGGAUUAGCGAUAUGGGUUCCUUCUGUGACCAAUCAGGCGAAGGAGACUGAAGCAUCUGAUACGCGUGGUUUGAAAAGGGGAUAUUCUUCUCUUUCAAAUACUGAAGACAAAAAUGAAGUCUGGAGAAGAAUUGAUGGUGGAGAUGAUCUAGAACUUUCUGUAAUAGAUAAUGCUCAUGAUCAGGAAGCAAUAAAUGAAGAUUCAGUUUUGGAAGAUCUGAAGGUUUCUAGGGCCAUGUCAAAGAACUAUAUAAAGGUCUCAGUAGCCUCAACGAUAGAAGAAGCUGUAGAUUGUAUGCAUAACAGCAAGCAGAAGUGUGUACUUGUGGUUGAUGGUGAAGAUUUACUGGAGGGAAUACUAACUUAUGGUGACAUUAGACGGCUGUCUAAUAAGUCUGAUGAUGCUUCUGCAGUUGAUUCGACAAUAACAGAUUGCAGGCAAGUACCUGUCUUGUUUCAUCUGUAUGUACCCGGGGGAUAAGCUACAGAGGUCAAGGUCGUGGACUUUUGACAUGCUAUCCAGAAACUGAUUUGGCUAUUGCAAAGGAGCUAAUGGAGGCCAAAGGGAUCAAGCAGUUACCUGUUGUUAAGCGUUACAGAGGCUCCUGGAAAGAAAGGAAGCGAAGAAUUGUUGCUCUUCUUCAUUACGAUUCAAUUCAGAAUUGUCUCAGAGAGGAGCUGGCUCGACGGAAGUCCAUCUUUCAGCACAGAAAAGAAAAUCGUCUUGAUAAGAUGAUUGAAAGCAGCCAUUAAUUUGUUGAUGUAAGUUCUCGUCAAAUUUCAAGUUCCUUUGGACCAGCCCUGUAAAGGACAGGUUGAAAGAGAAAUGAUUAUCAAAUCAGUCAUCUUCAUCUUGGAAUUAGUUCGUCAUAGUUCUUGAAUGACAGUUAAUUUAGAUGCACAAUCGCCUUCGCCGGACGAGCAAAGGCUUGGAAUUUUCCAAAUUCUUGGGUGAAUUAAUGUAGGAAUGAAAUGUCCAAAUCAAUGUCUAGAAGUGAACUGGUUACUCAUAAUUGUUGUAUCCAAUUAUCGUUGAUGGGAAAACCUUGUCAUAGUGAAUUUGUCAAGCUUAUGGGUCGGGUCAUUCAUGGAUCUCAAUCUAAGCCUGAUUUAUUUGAUGUAAUUGGGUAAAGGUGAACUAGUAAGUAUAUCACAGUUGCGAUUCUAAAAA